AAAUUGAAGAGUUUGAUCAUGGCUCAGAUUGAACGCUGGCGGCAGGCCUAACACAUGCAAGUCGAACGGUAACAGAAAGCAG
RNAcentral lists this ribosomal RNA (82 nucleotides) under Escherichia coli. RNAcentral's name for it is "partial 16S ribosomal RNA". It matches the Rfam family "Bacterial small subunit ribosomal RNA", at positions 1 to 82 of the family's 1533-position model. Lineage: Bacteria; Pseudomonadati; Pseudomonadota; Gammaproteobacteria; Enterobacterales; Enterobacteriaceae. RNAcentral also lists the same sequence under 5 other names. The record is from RNAcentral.